GCCUCAGUGGUGUAGAGGUUAUUAUACCUGGUUCAAUUAAUUACUGUCAACGCUGUCAACGCUGUCGAAUGUGAGAGCAGGUGACAUGGGUUCGAUUCCCUUCUGAGGCA
This is a non-coding RNA of Gymnopus androsaceus JB14, 110 nucleotides long. The record is from the annotation of a GenBank genome assembly. NCBI's taxonomy places the organism in Eukaryota, Fungi, Basidiomycota, Agaricomycetes, Agaricales, Omphalotaceae.